AACCUAGUUGGUUGCGAUAUGUUGCCAUUCAAUACCAUAUCACAGCUUGCUCUAGGUUUA
Molecule: microRNA precursor, 60 nt
Filed under: Schmidtea mediterranea
Lineage: Eukaryota; Metazoa; Platyhelminthes; Tricladida; Dugesiidae
Description: Sme-Mir-2-o128_pre stem-loop
Source: RNAcentral